RNAcentral lists this ribosomal RNA (465 nucleotides) under uncultured bacterium. Its description in RNAcentral is "partial 16S ribosomal RNA". It matches the Rfam family "Bacterial small subunit ribosomal RNA", at positions 28 to 507 of the family's 1533-position model. The record is from RNAcentral.
GACGAACGCUGGCGGCGUGCUUAACACAUGCAAGUCGAACGGAAAGGCCCUGCUUGCAGGGUACUCGAGUGGCGAACGGGUGAGUAACACGUGGGUGAUCUGCCCUGCACUUCGGGAUAAGCCUGGGAAACUGGGUCUAAUACCGGACAGGAGCCAUUUUUAGUGUGAUGGUUGGAAAGUUUUUUCGGUGUAGGAUGAGCUCGCGGCCUAUCAGCUUGCUGGUGGGGUAAUGGCCUACCAAGGCGGCGACGGGUAGCCGGCCUGAGGGGGUGGACGGCCACAUUGGGACUGAGAUACGGCCCAGACUCCGACGGGAGGCAGCAGUGGGGAAUAUUGCACAAUGGGCGCAAGCCUGAUGCAGCGACGCCGCGUGGGGGAUGACGGCCUUCGGGUUGUAAACUCCUUUCGCUAGGGACGAAGCUUUUUGUGACGGUACCUAGAUAAGAAGCACCGGCUAACUACGUG